RNAcentral lists this transfer RNA (77 nucleotides) under Marinicauda salina. Its description in RNAcentral is "Marinicauda sp. WD6-1 tRNA-Arg". It matches the Rfam family "tRNA". From Rfam's summary of the family: Transfer RNA (tRNA) molecules are approximately 80 nucleotides in length. The record is from RNAcentral. Lineage: Bacteria; Pseudomonadati; Pseudomonadota; Alphaproteobacteria; Maricaulales; Maricaulaceae.
GCCUCCGUAGCUCAACCGGAUAGAGCACCCGCCUUCUAAGCGGACGGUUGCAGGUUCGAGUCCUGCCGGAGGCGCCA